ACACAAUUAAACACCAAUUGUCCGCCAACAACUACGAGUCCCACUUAAAACUUAAAAGACUUGACGGUACUUCACCACGCCCUAGAGGAGCCUGUCUAAUAACCGACAAUCCACGAUUAACCCGACCCUUUCUCGCCCAACAGUCUAUAUACCGCCGUCGCCAGCUUACCUUGUAAAAGAAAUAAAGUGAGCUAAACAGUACUGCACUAAAACGACAGGUCGAGGUGUAACCUAUGAAAGGGUAUAAGAUGGGCUACAUUCUCCAACCGAGAAUACGAAUAGCACUCUGAAAUUAGCGCCUGAAGGCGGAUUUAGCAGUAAGAUAAGAAUAAAACACCUAACUGAACAUAACGCAAUGAAGUGCGUACACACCGNCCGUCAUNCCUGUCACNNNG
Molecule: ribosomal RNA, 395 nt
Filed under: Protobothrops mangshanensis
Lineage: Eukaryota; Metazoa; Chordata; Lepidosauria; Squamata; Viperidae
Description: partial 12S ribosomal RNA
Source: RNAcentral